RNAcentral lists this ribosomal RNA (542 nucleotides) under Clostridioides difficile. RNAcentral describes it as "bacterial LSU rRNA". It matches the Rfam family "Bacterial large subunit ribosomal RNA", at positions 1219 to 1759 of the family's 2925-position model. Lineage: Bacteria; Bacillati; Bacillota; Clostridia; Peptostreptococcales; Peptostreptococcaceae. The record is from RNAcentral.
UAAUGAUGGGUAGGGGAGCUUCCCAUACGGGUUGAAGCAUGACCGUAAGGACAUGUGGACAGUAUGGGAGUGAGAAUGUUGGCAUGAGUAGCGAGAUGUGGGUGAGAAGCCCACAGGCCGUAACCCCGACGUAUCCGGGGGAAGGCUCGUCCGCCCUGGGUUAGGCGGGACCUAAGCUGAGGCCGAAAGGCGUAGGGGAUGGACAACAGGUUGAUAUUCCUGUACUACCGAUAACCGUUUGAGAGAAGGGAUGACACAGUAGGAUAAGCUAAGCACACUGUUGGUUAUGGGUGCCCAAGCAUUGAGGCAGUCAAAGUAGGCAAAUCCGCUUUGAUAAUGCUGGGAUGUGAUGGGGAGCGAAAUUUAGUAGCGAAGUAGCUGAUUUCACACUGUCAAGAAAAGUCUCUAUCGAGGUUAAAGGUACCCGUACCGCAAACCGACACAGGUGGGUGAGGAGAGUAUCCUAAGGCCAGCGAGAGAACUGUUGUUAAGGAACUCGGCAAAAUGACCCCGUAACUUAGGGAUAAGGGGUGCCACCAUCA